RNAcentral lists this ribosomal RNA (795 nucleotides) under uncultured bacterium. RNAcentral describes it as "bacterial SSU rRNA". It matches the Rfam family "Bacterial small subunit ribosomal RNA", at positions 8 to 796 of the family's 1533-position model. The record is from RNAcentral.
AGAGUUUGAUCCUGGCUCAGAUUGAACGCUGGCGGCGUGCCUAACACAUGCAAGUCGAGCGGUAACAGGUGUAGCAAUACAUGCUGACGAGCGGCGAACGGGUGAGUAAUGCUUCGGAAUCUACCCAGUAGUGGGGAAUAACCAACCGAAAGGUUGGCUAAUACCGCAUACGUCCUACGGGAGAAAGCGGGGGAUCGCAAGACCUCGCGCUAUCGGAUGAGCCGAAGCCGGAUUAGCUAGUUGGUAGGGUAACGGCCUACCAAGGCGACGAUCCGUAGCUGGUCUGAGAGGACGACCAGCCACACUGGGACUGAGACACGGCCCAGACUCCUACGGGAGGCAGCAGUGGGGAAUAUUGGACAAUGGGGGAAACCCUGAUCCAGCGACGCCGCGUGUGUGAAGAAGGCCUGCGGGUUGUAAAGCACUUUUAGUGGGGAUGAAAAGUGCAGAGCUAACACCUCUGCAUCUUGACCUAACCCACAGAAAAAGCACCGGCUAACUCUGUGCCAGCAGCCGCGGUAAUACAGAGGGUGCGAGCGUUAAUCGGAAUUACUGGGCGUAAAGCGUGCGUAGACGGUAAUGUAAGUCGGGUGUGAAAGCCCCGGGCUCAACCUGGGAAUUGCAUUCGAGACUGCAUUGCUUGGGUGCGGAAGAGGGAAGCGGAAUUUCCGGUGUAGCGGUGAAAUGCGUAGAUAUCGGAAGGAACACCAGUGGCGAAAGCGGCUUCCUGGUCCGACACCGACGUUCAGGCACGAAAGCGUGGGGAGCAAACAGGAUUAGAUACCCUAGUAGUCC